CCAAGGUCUAUAAUGCGCGGUCGUUUGUAACAUCGCAUUGAUUUAAAGCUUAAAUUAAAAAUCUCACACACCUCUUCGUAUAAACGAGGCAACCCCAGCAACACCAACUUUUCCACGCGUCUCCCUUGAUGAUCUCCUUAAACAUUGUACGGAAAAGAACCCCAACAUGUGCCAAGCAACCGGGCUUAAAGAUCAUAUAUAGGCUAGUGGUGCGCAUCUGCCACGGAACCUAUUGGCAAAUGAGUUUUUCACGAUGCCUGGCGACUGCAAGGAGUGGUUUCGCUUUGGGAAACCGGGGCUGUGGUCACUUGCAGCGCGGACACUGUCCGUCUUUCACCUAUUUAGCCCGAGCCAUUUUCAUUAGCGCGAGGCUGUCUGCGAGCACAACAGGGACGGUUGUAAUCAGCAGCCAUAAACUGUGAAGUGGGAGAACCUAAACGUGACGUCAAUGCCUAGUAACUGACGCAGCCCUGAGAGAGAGAGAGAGAGAUUCUGCAAGCGUUAAUAUCAUCUUUUGUAUACUGCUCUAAAGACAAAAUAUAUUCCGCUCGCAGUGCGACUGAUUACGAUUGUUUGCGCGCGCGGGUCUGUCUGUGUGUCUCAGUGUGAGUGUGUGCGUGCGUGCGUGCGUGCGUAUGUUUUUUUAUGGGCUGCGAAUCCGUCCCGAGUUUCCAAGCUAAAGUUGCAUGGAUACACGCCGCGUAAGACGCGUAUAAUAAAGAGGAUGGUGUGCAACAUAAAGGAGCAAGGAGAGCGAGACCAACUUGUGCUGAGAAAGGGAACAUUUAAGAAAUAUUUUGCCCAUAAGAGAGAGGGGCACUGAAGCAGUUCGUUUGAAAAAAAAAAUGGAAAAGAAAAAAAAAAUCACUGCAGCGAUGCAUCGGAGGCGAUUCAGAUGGAGUUGGCGAGGCAAAAUUAAUGUACAUUACAUGCACUCCACGUAACGCUCCUGAGCGAUGUCUUUGUGAGUGUGUUUUUUUUUCUUACUGGUCGCUAAAAAUAGCAUCAGUGUUUGAUCGUGGUCCAGAAAUAGGCAGAGGGUAUCACUUGUAUAAAAAGGACUGCGAUUCUGAGAAAACUUGGACAUGUUGCUAAGGAUAGAUAUGAAUCAAGGGCAGUAUUUGAUUUUCAUCUUGCUUGUUGUUUUUGUCACGUAUGAUGGUUUUAUACUCAUAUCUGUGUUUCCCUGCUUUCAGCCAGGGCUUCCUGUACUGAACAGGACAGAACUUGAGGCAUCCAUCGUGUCAAGGACGAGGGUGAAAUGAACGAUCCCAGACGGUGUUGCUCGUGACGUCACCGGCGUCAAAAUCUGCUGAUGAUUGGAGGUGUAUGCAAAAGUGAGAUGUGAAGCAAACUGACUGUGUUCCUCGUGGAAGGAGAGGGACGGCUGACAGGCAUGGAAGUUGAUGGAGGAAAAAGGAGGGGUUUACAAGGAUAAAAAUCUGGGAUAACGUUACCUUGUAUCCUGCACACAAGACCAACGUCAACCCAACGUCUGUUAGACUGCUGUACACCUGUAAAUGGAUAUACAGCAAGUUGAUUACUUUGUAGGAACAACAUAACAUCGUCAGGUAUUUGCAAUAUCUGUCUGUAAACUACUUGGGUUUAAUAAAUGAACCGGGCUGCUUGCGUUGUCACGUGCACAGACGUCUGACACGCAUGAGCUCUGGGACGUAAGGAAAUAUGAAAGUGAUGUAGUACAUAUUUGAGCUUUAAAAAUAAUUGUCUUGCACAUAAAACCAUGUAUAGAUUUGUUGUAAUUAUUUACCUUAAUAAGUGAAACUGAGAUGCGUAUGAACGCUUGUGUUGAGUUGUGUUGCUUUAAUUCUCAAAGACGUGAAGGCAAACACAUACUGAUUUAAUCUUAUUUUCUCUAAUUAAAUUAUAGCCUAUAAGUAGCUUCAAAUGGAUUUGUUGUGACUGUGAUAAUAAGAACGCGUGCGUAACGCGAGCGUCUGCGUCUGUAGACUUGUGUGAAAAUUACAGGCGCGAGUUUCUUUAGCUUCUGUUGCAUUAUAAUUGUUAGGGUUACAUAUUUGUGAGAUCUUGUUUAACAUGUUGAAUGAACAUGUCAGGCGUUUGUCCACUGCACGCUCUGCUGCUGCUGGCGUGUCACUCCCACGGCCCAAAAGAGCUUAGGACUCAAAUAAUGAUGGGUUUUUAUUAGUUCUUUCGCUAAAUAUGCUUAUUAUAUCGUAUAUAUGUAAAAAGGUUUCAUAAUUUUUGUUUAGGGAGCAUUUUGAACACAGUAAAUGUCAAUUAUGACUUGUUGGUGUUAUCAAAGGGGCAAAUGGGUUGUGUCCUGCAGAAAGUGGGGGGAAAUAAAAAAAUUAAAAAAUAAAGAUUAUAGGCUUCGAGUUAUUCUUAAAAUGUCUGUGGUAGAUCAGUGAGUGUCGAGGACUGAAAGCUGGAAUAUAUCAUGUGUUGGGCUAUGUGAGAGGAAACGUGUGUGUAUGUUUGUGUGUGUGUGUGUGUGUGUAUGUGUGUGUGUGUUAGAAGAACGAGACAGAGAGAGAGAGAGUCUGAUUUCGAAAUUGUAUGUUUUAAGGUUUGUCUAACCAAAAUAUAGUUAAGUAAAAUAUAUAGAAUUUGCAUCAGUUAUUUUUUGUAGUAUAAUAAUAAAAACAACUGAUAAUGCACUAUGUAGCCUAUUGGAUUGUUUGUGCCUUACUUGACUUUUAUUUGUAUUGCUUCAUAAUUAUAGUAUUUUCUGCUUUGCUGUUACUGUAUAUCAUUCAACCCAAAUGUGCUUAACAGUGUGAGCUGAAUUGAGUAAAAUGAGUCAAGUGUGUUUGCUUCAGUGUGGAUGACAUAAGAGUUCUGCAUUUCUGAGUAUUUGAAUGUCAUUUCUGUAUAGUGCGCAGAGACAAAUGCCUUAACUGUUCGACCCGGACUAUCUGUUUUGCUAUUUCAUUACAUGAAACCAUCUGUACAUGUGGUGUGAGAAAUAUAUGAUGUGAAUAUGUUGCAAAAUCUAAAAGCUUUUGUCGUCCACGUGACAAAGUUAUGAAUCACGUAUCGUGUAAUGAAACUUUGCUUUCUGUAUUCUCAUGUCAGAGAAAAUAAAAAAUU
Molecule: long non-coding RNA, 3072 nt
Organism: Carassius auratus (goldfish)
Lineage: Eukaryota; Metazoa; Chordata; Actinopteri; Cypriniformes; Cyprinidae
Exons: 4
Source: RefSeq, a predicted model, not a curated record